Molecule: signal recognition particle RNA, 97 nt
Filed under: Paracoccaceae bacterium
Lineage: Bacteria; Pseudomonadati; Pseudomonadota; Alphaproteobacteria; Rhodobacterales; Paracoccaceae
Description: Rhodobacteraceae bacterium (microbial mat metagenome) signal recognition particle sRNA small type
Rfam family: Bacterial small signal recognition particle RNA
About the family: The signal recognition particle (SRP) is a universally conserved ribonucleoprotein involved in the co-translational targeting of proteins to membranes. Archaeal SRP consists of a 7S RNA and homologues of the eukaryotic SRP19 and SRP54 proteins. In most bacteria, the SRP consists of a 4.5S RNA and the Ffh protein (a homologue of the eukaryotic SRP54 protein).
Source: RNAcentral
GAGAGGUUGGCGCGGGCAGGCGCCUCGCCAACCCGGUCAGGUCCGGAAGGAAGCAGCCGCAACGAGCCCCGCCUGGGUCGUGUUCCAGCCUCUCACC